RNAcentral lists this long non-coding RNA (663 nucleotides) under Medicago truncatula (barrel medic). Its description in RNAcentral is "lncRNA gene17091". Lineage: Eukaryota; Viridiplantae; Streptophyta; Magnoliopsida; Fabales; Fabaceae. The record is from RNAcentral.
GGUAUGCCAAGCGAUUAAGUAAAAUUUCACAACAGUUUUAUAACACCGAUUAACAAAUCACAUAAGCACAGUAACAACCCCAAUAAUGCUGUAUGUUGCAUUCUUUCCUCUCUCAAAAGGAAGGAGCAUGUUGAUUCAAGAACUUGCCAGUUAGCGGUACCAGUUACAACCGCGUUAUUCCAACUUGGGCAGUACUCUAACGAGACCAUAGGUAUACUCUAUAAAUUAUUGAUUAAAGAAUGUGCGUGUUCUAAACAUCAUGUCAUACAAAUUGAAGUUAUUGAUGAUCAAAAUGCAUGUCGGUAUUUGCCAUUCUAUCAGUUCCUACAAGUGAUAUCCUGUCAUCAUAGACAUAAACGCUUCCAAAUGCAUCUGUGCCCGGAGGACAUUCAAGAGCAGCUUCAAGAACUCUAUGGUGUACCCCAUGAGAAUCAAUGGAAUACCCACCUUUAUGAUCGUGUCCAGCAAGAACGGCUUUAACACAACUGUAUCUGUGUAUCAAAUUCAUCACUUCAUCACAAUUCCACAGUAGCGCCUCCUCGGAUGUUGCACAAGGAUCUAGAGGCAGAUGGCAUGUGACAACCACUUUCUGUUUCAAUUUGGUUGCAUCCUGGAGAAUACCAUCCAACCAUUCCAUCUGUUCCUUUCCAACACCUCCGUUAA